This 485-nucleotide ribosomal RNA is filed under the name uncultured bacterium. Its description in RNAcentral is "partial 16S ribosomal RNA". It matches the Rfam family "Bacterial small subunit ribosomal RNA", at positions 28 to 523 of the family's 1533-position model. The record is from RNAcentral.
GAUGAACGCUGGCGGCGUGCCUAAUACAUGCAAGUCGAGCGAAUGGAUUAAGAGCUUGCUCUGGUGGAUUAGUGGCGAACGGGUGAGUAACACGUGAGUAACCUGCCCCGAACUCUGGGAUAACUGCUGGAAACGGUAGCUAAUACUGGAUACGACCAACGAAGGCAUCUUCUGUUGGUGGAAAGAAUUUCGGUUCGGGAUGGACUCGCGGCCUAUCAGCUUGUUGGUGAGGUAACGGCUCACCAAGGCGACGACGGGUAGCCGGCCUGAGAGGGUGAUCGGCCACACUGGGACUGAGACACGGCCCAGACUCCUACGGGAGGCAGCAGUGGGGAAUAUUGCACAAUGGGCGCAAGCCUGAUGCAGCAACGCCGCGUGAGGGACGACGGCCUUCGGGUUGUAAACCUCUUUUAGUAGGGAAGAAGCGAAAGUGACGGUACCUGCAGAAAAAGCACCGGCUAACUACGUGCCAGCCGCCGCCGUAA